CCUACGGGCGGCAGCAGUGAGGAAUAUUGGUCAAUGGGCGCGAACCUGAACCAGCCAAGCAGCGUGAAGGAUGACUGCCCUACGGGUUGUAAACUUCUUUUAUAAAGGAAUAAAGUGAGGCACGUGUGCCUUUUUGUAUGUACUUUAUGAAUAAGGAUCGGCUAACUCCGUGCCAGCAGCCGCGGUAAUACGGAGGAUCCGAGCGUUAUCCGGAUUUAUUGGGUUUAAAGGGGGCUAAGAGGGGUUGUUAAGUCAGUUGUGAAAGUUUGGGGCUCAACCGUAAAAUUGCAAUUGAUACUGGCAGCCUUGAGUACAGUUGAGGUAGGCGGAAUGCGUGGUGUAGCGGUGAAAUGCUUAGAUAUCACGAAGAACUCCGAUUGCGAAGGCAGCUUACUAAACUGCCACUGACAUUGAGGCUCGAAAGUGUGGGUAUCAAACAGGAUUAGAUACCCCUGUAGUC
This 460-nucleotide ribosomal RNA is filed under the name uncultured bacterium. RNAcentral describes it as "partial 16S ribosomal RNA". It matches the Rfam family "Bacterial small subunit ribosomal RNA", at positions 338 to 795 of the family's 1533-position model. The record is from RNAcentral.